UACGUAGGGUGCAAGCGUUAAUCGGAAUUACUGGGCGUAAAGCGUGCGCAGGCGGUUUUGUAAGACAGUGGUGAAAUCCCCGGGCUCAACCUGGGAACUGCCAUUGUGACUGCAAGGCUAGAGUGCGGCAGAGGGGGAUGGAAUUCCGCGUGUAGCAGUGAAAUGCGUAGAUAUGCGGAGGAACACCGAUGGCGAAGGCAAUCCCCUGGGCCUGCACUGACGCUCAUGCACGAAAGCGUGGGGAGCAAACAGGAUUA
Molecule: ribosomal RNA, 257 nt
Filed under: uncultured Burkholderiales bacterium
Lineage: Bacteria; Pseudomonadati; Pseudomonadota; Betaproteobacteria; Burkholderiales
Description: partial 16S ribosomal RNA
Rfam family: Bacterial small subunit ribosomal RNA
Source: RNAcentral